CCUACGGGAGGCUGCAGUGGGGAAUAUUGGGCAAUGGGCGCAAGCCUGACCCAGCAACGCCGCGUGAGGGAAGAAGGUUUUCGGAUUGUAAACCUCUGUCUUCGGUGACGAAACGAGACGGUAGCCGAGGAGGAAGCCACGGCUAACUACGUGCCAGCAGCCGCGGUCAUACGUAGGUGGCAAGCGUUGUCCGGAAUUACUGGGUGUAAAGGGAGCGUAGGCGGGAAAACAAGUUGAAUGUUUAAGGUACGGGCUCAACCUGUACAAGCGUUCAAAACUGUUUUUCUUGAGUGGAGUAGAGGUAAGCGGAAUUCCUAGUGUAGCGGUGAAAUGCGUAAAUAUUAGGAGGAACACCAGUGGCGAAGGCGGCUUACUGGGCUUUAACUGACGCUGAGGCUCGAAAGCGUGGGUAGCAAACAGGAUUAGAUACCCUAGUAGUC
This 440-nucleotide ribosomal RNA is filed under the name uncultured bacterium. RNAcentral's name for it is "partial 16S ribosomal RNA". It matches the Rfam family "Bacterial small subunit ribosomal RNA", at positions 338 to 795 of the family's 1533-position model. The record is from RNAcentral.